Ooceraea biroi (clonal raider ant) is the source of this 1469-nucleotide long non-coding RNA. RefSeq lists it as uncharacterized. The record is from RefSeq and is a predicted model, not a curated record. Lineage: Eukaryota; Metazoa; Arthropoda; Insecta; Hymenoptera; Formicidae.
ACAUGUAUAUUACCUGUUACUUUGUGUUUGCUGGGAUAAGACUCGUGCGACUUGCGAUUAAUGUGCAUGUGGUCAAUCGCUUGCGACUAAUGUAGAACAACCUUUACGCAGCCUCGAAAAGAAGAAAUAAGCAGGGAGAGUUCCGUCUUCUCUCGACGAAGACGUUUUGUUUAUAACAUCACUGGACUCGCGCAUCGUUUAUAUACCCAACGGGGUGUGUCGAUGCGAAGACUUGUCUUUUCUAACUUUUUUCCAUUUUGAAUAUACAGUCCUGUAGAGCGGACUUUCUUUCUAUCUAUACUUCAUUUGUGGAAAAGGAUUUUUUAUUUUGCACAAGCAAUAAAGAGAAUUUUCGAAACUGCAAUUACCAUCGCUAUAGUGAAAAAUAAUAUCUCACUAGCAACUCCAGCUUCCCCUUAACUGUACUCAUAAAAGUGAGUGAAAAUGAAAAGGACAUUGUAGAAACACACUGCGAUUUCCCUACAUUAAGUGAUUGUGAGCCCAUGUCAGAUAAUGUAAAACAAGCAUUUUAUAGAAUGUGUGGAUAUGUGGUUUUCAAGUUGAGAUACUCAAUAAAAUGUGAAGACUGUUAUCUGAAAUUGCAAGACAAUUCUAAUUUUGCAUAUACACCAUCAUCUUUAUCUGCUUUUGUAGCUAUUACAGAUUAUACUCCUGGAGCUCAAAUAAGAGUUAGCAAUGAAGUAUUUGACAUUCUUGAAGGGGCAGAAAGGAUAAUGUGGAAAGCCAAGUCUAAAUUGUUAUUUUCGGGAGUCUUUGCAUAAUGAAUUUGUAUCCUACUUCGACACUGCUUUGAAACAUCUCCCUUUAAGCACUUGUCACAAUGUUAAAGGAAAAUUAAUAUCACGAUUUGUGUCAAUGCGUUUAAAACAACUAGCAAUAACUUUAGGUAAUACAGAGGAUUCAAAGAUGAAUAUGUCAUCGGGUUUUGCAAGUAAAACGAUGGGAGCAGCAAUAUUAGCUCAUAGAUUCAAACCAAAAAAUUAUACACUAAAAUAUUAAAUUAGAGAUUAUUAUGGAUGGUUAUUUCAUAUGACUGGAUUAUCCUAAUAUUUUUGUGAUAUGUCUAUCAAUGUUAUCAUGUGCAUAUUUUUGUACAUUAAAAACUGUUGCGAAUUUAUUUUCGUUGUGUUUUUGUAAACUGUUGCGAAUUAUUAAUUUAUAAAUAAAAUUUUGAAAAUAUUUUUCAUGAUUAAUGUUCCCAACUAUUCUUUUAACUUCCUUAUAACUAUAAAAUAAAACAAUUCAUUUUAUUCUCCAAAAUUAUAUUAUUAUUAUAAUAUAUUCUACUUACAAACUUAUACUUAUUACUUCUAUUAAAUGACGUAAGUAACACGCUUUCAUAUAUUAAAUAAACUAUACAAGAUUAUUAUACAGAUACAAGAUUAUACGAUACCGAUACAAGACUACUAGUAUUAGUACACAAUUGAAAUACUAUUAUAAUUGAUAUU